CUUUCCAAAAUGUGGUUUCAAUAUAUUUUAUGUAAUAUAAUAAUAAUAAUAAUAACUUUAUUUUUAUACCCCGCCCCAUCUCCCCGAAGGGACUCGGGGCGGCUUACAUGGGGCCUAGCCCGAUAAAACAAUCAAUAUCAGUAACUUGACUAUAAAAUAAUUAUACCAGUAAAACAUCAAUAGCAAUAAAACAAUCGUUAAAAUCGGCAAGAAGCAUACAAAAAACAUACAAUAUUAAAACAGGAGACUAAGUCAUAAAAUCCAGAACAGAAUGUGCCGGUAGAAAUGGACAAUAAAGUGCAAAAUAGCAUUGGCCAACAUCUCAGAAAAGGGGGCUAUUAUAAAAUGGGCAGAUGGAUCAGUCCAACAUCAAAUUAGGUGUCAACGGCCUUUUGGAAGAGCCAGGUUUUUAAGCUCCUACGAAAGGAGAGGAGGGUAGGGGCCUGCCUGAUCUCUCUAGGAAGAGAGUUCCAAAGCCGGGGGGCCACGACGGAGAAGGCCCUCUCUCUCGUCCCCACCAACCGCGACUGCGAGGGUGGUGGGAGCGAGAGAAGGGCCUCCCCCGAUGAGCGGAGAGAACGUGCGGGUUCAUAGGGGGAGAUGCGGUCUCUAAGGUAGGUGGGUCCCAAACCGUUUAGGGCUUUGUAGGUGAUAACCUGCACCUUGAAUUGGGCCCGGAAAGUAAACGGCAGCCAGUGGAGCUCCUUAAACAGAGGCGUUGAACACGCCCUGUAAUUCACUCCAGUUAGAAGCCUGGCUGCCGAUUGCUGUACUAGUUGUAAUUUCCGGGCCAUCUUCAAAGGCAGCCCCACGUAGAGCGCAUUGCAAUAGUCCAGUGUAGAGGUAACUAAGCCAUGGACCACCAUGGUCAGAUCAGACUUCUCGAGUGCAGUACCCCCAAGGCCCAUCCCAGAGAGCCGCCCCAGAAGGAUGCCAUGGUCGAUGGUAUCGAAAGCCGCUGAGAUGUCCAAGAGAACCAGCAGGGUCACACUCCCCCUGUCCAGCUCCCUGCGGAGGUCAUCCACCAAGGCGACCAAAGCCAUCUCAGUACUGAACCCAGGCCUGAAGCCAGACUGUGAU
RNAcentral lists this long non-coding RNA (1080 nucleotides) under Anolis carolinensis (green anole). RNAcentral describes it as "lncRNA (ENSACAG00000044661.1)". The record is from RNAcentral. Lineage: Eukaryota; Metazoa; Chordata; Lepidosauria; Squamata; Anolidae.